This 1973-nucleotide ribosomal RNA is filed under the name gut metagenome. RNAcentral's name for it is "bacterial LSU rRNA". It matches the Rfam family "Bacterial large subunit ribosomal RNA", at positions 1 to 1988 of the family's 2925-position model. The record is from RNAcentral.
GAAAGUAAGAAAGGGCGCAUGGCGGAUGCCUUGGCUCUCGGAGGCGAUGAAGGACGUGAUAAGCUGCGAUAAGCUGCGGGUAGGUGCAAAUAACCUUUGAUCCGCGGAUUUCCGAAUGGGACAACCCAACCGGUUGAAGACCGGUUAUCUAUCCAAUGAUAGAGGCUAACGCAGGGAACUGAAACAUCUUAGUACCUGCAGGAAAAGAAAAUAAAUAAUGAUUCCCCUAGUAGUGGCGAGCGAACGGGGAUUAGCCCAAACCAUGAAUGUUACGGCAUUUAUGGGGUUGUAGGACCACGAUGUCGCAAGACAUCUGACGAAUGGAAUCCUCUGGAAAGAGGAGCCGUAGACGGUGAUAGCCCGGUACAUGAAGUCAGACGAAGCGUAGUGGUAUCCUGAGUAGCGCGGAGCACGAGGAAUUCUGCGUGAACCAGCCGGGACCAUCCGGUAAGGCUAAAUACUCCCGAGAGACCGAUAGUGAACCAGUACUGUGAAGGAAAGGUGAAAAGCACUUCGAAUAGAAGAGUGAAAUAGUCCCUGAAACCGUGCGCCUACAAGCGGUCGGAGCUGUUUUAAACAGUGACGGCGUGCCUUUUGCAUAAUGAACCUACGAGUUACUUUUACUGGCAAGGUUAAGCAUCUUGAGAUGUGUAUCCGAAGCGAAAGCGAGUCUGAACAGGGCGUAUAGUCAGUAGGAGUAGACGCGAAACCAAGUGAUCUACCCUUGGGCAGGUUGAAGGUUAGGUAACACUAACUGGAGGACCGAACCGAUAAGCGUUGAAAAGCUUCCGGAUGACCUGAGGGUGGGGGUGAAAGGCUAAUCAAACUUGGAGAUAGCUCGUACUCCCCGAAAUGCAUUUAGGUGCAGCCUUGUGAGUUACUAAUGUGAGGUAGAGCGACUGAUAAGAUGCGAGGGCUUCGCCGCCUAUCAAGUCUUGAUAAACUCCGAAUGCGCAUUAGUCCUAUCACAGGAGUGAGGGCAUGGGUGCUAAGGUCCAUGUCCGAAAGGAGAAGAAUCCAGACCAUCAGCUAAGGUCCCCAAAUAAAUGCUAAGUUGAACUAACGAAGUCAGAUUGCUAAGACAGCUAGGAUGUUGGCUUGGAAGCAGCCAUUCAUUUAAAGAGUGCGUAACAGCUCACUAGUCGAGGAGUUUGGCGUGGAUAAUAAUCGGGCAUCAAGCAUUUUACCGAAGCUAUGGGAUACGUAAGUAUCGGUAGGGGAGCAUUCCACUCGGCGUCGAAGGUGAAGCGCGAGCUUUGCUGGAGCGUGUGGAAAAGCAAAUGUAGGUAUAAGUAACGAUAAAGGGGGUGGGAAACCCCCUCGCCGAAAGACUAAGGUUUCCUGAUCAACGCUAAUCGGAUCAGGGUUAGUCGGGUCCUAAGGCUCAGCCGAACGGUGAUGCCGAUGGCAGAACAGGUUAAUAUUCCUGUACUACCUUAAGGAGUGACGUGGAGACGGAGUCGUGACAGCGCCGCGGACUGACGGAAUAGUCCGUUGAAGGGUGUAGAUGUUGAUUGCGGCAGGCAAAUCCACCGCAAGAGUCGAACCUGAUAGUAUGGAGCGUUCUUCUGAACAAUCCAAUAGUGCGUGUAAGCAUACUCCCAAGAAAAUCCGCUAAACUUAAUCCUUGAGGUACCCGUACCGUAAACGGACACACGUAGUCGGGUUGAAUAUACUAAGGCGCUUGAGUGAUUCACGGUUAAGGAACUAGGCAAAUUGACCCUGUAACUUCGGGAUAAAGGGUCCCUGCUGAGAGGUAGGGCGCAGAGAAUAGGUCCAGGCAACUGUUUAACAAAAACACAGGGCUGUGCAAAAUUGAAAGAUCACGUAUACAGCCUGACACCUGCCCGGUGCUGGAAGGUUAAGAGGAGAUGUCAUCGCAAGAGAAGCAUUGAAUUGAAGCCCCAGUAAACGGCGGCCGUAACUAUAACGGUCCUAAGGUAGCGAAAUUCCUUGUCGGGUAAGUUCCGACC